RNAcentral lists this ribosomal RNA (372 nucleotides) under uncultured bacterium. RNAcentral's name for it is "bacterial SSU rRNA". It matches the Rfam family "Bacterial small subunit ribosomal RNA", at positions 524 to 898 of the family's 1533-position model. The record is from RNAcentral.
UACGGAGGGUGCAAGCGUUAUCCGGAUUUACUGGGUUUAAAGGGUGCGCAGGCGGAUUGCCAAGUCCGUGGUGAAAUCUCUGAGCUUAACUCAGAAAUUGCCGUGGAUACUGGUAGUCUUGAAUGCUGUGGAGGUAAGCGGAAUAUGUCAUGUAGCGGUGAAAUGCUUAGAUAUGACAUAGAACACCUAUUGCGAAGGCAGCUUACUACGCAGAUAUUGACGCUCAUGCACGAAAGCGUGGGGAUCAAACAGGAUUAGAUACCCUGGUAGUCCACGCCCUAAACGAUGAUUACUCGACAUACGCGAUACACUGUGUGUGUCUGAGCGAAAGCAUUAAGUAAUCCACCUGGGAAGUACGACCGCAAGGUUGAA